Molecule: ribosomal RNA, 253 nt
Filed under: uncultured bacterium
Lineage: Bacteria
Description: partial 16S ribosomal RNA
Rfam family: Bacterial small subunit ribosomal RNA
Source: RNAcentral
UACGGAGAGUGCAAGCGUUGCUCGGAUUCACUGGGCGUAAAGGGUACGUAGGCGGCUCGUUAAGUCAGGUGUGGAAGCCCACGGCUUACCCGUGGAAGUGCGCUUGAUACUGGCGAGCUUGAGGCGUUGAGGGGUGGGUGGAACUCUAGGUGGAGCGGUGAAAUGCGUAGAUAUCUAGAGGAACGCCGGAGGCGAAAGCGACCCACUGGUGACGUCCUGACGCUGAGGUACGAAAGCUGGGGGAGCAAACGGG